This 632-nucleotide long non-coding RNA is filed under the name Vulpes vulpes (red fox). RNAcentral describes it as "lncRNA (ENSVVUG00000020915.1)". Lineage: Eukaryota; Metazoa; Chordata; Mammalia; Carnivora; Canidae. The record is from RNAcentral.
CCGGAAUCGGGGCGUGAGUCCAGGGCCGGGAAGACAAGAAAGUCACCUCCGGACUACAGUUCCCAGCAUGCACUUCAAGGGCCUCUUUCGACGUGUGCUCUCGGGAAACGUAGUUCGCUGUGGAGCAAGAUUUAAACGUGCAGGUGGCUGUUGAAGUUAAGAGAACUUAGAAAAUUUGAAUUGAACACAGUGAUACCAACAUACAACAGCUGGACUGCGUUCGAAGUAUUUUUUUGGAACUUAGAUGGAACAGGGCCAUAUUCGUGGAAACCGGAGUGGAACUCGUUCUCCCUUUUUCUUGCCCUGACAAAGCAAAAGGAAAGAAACCCCAUCCAGGGCAGAUCAUCUCAAUGCUAGUAUUCGUUUUUAGGAGGCCCACCAGGAACAAGAAGGAAGAGAGAGGUAAAAGGAUCACCUAUCUGCAGCAGCAGAGCUGGUGCAUGGCCAUGAGAAGAGGAGGACGAGUGUUCUCCAUUACCCCCUCCUCCCUCUCCCUACACCCAGGAGUUGUGGCGUUUAUGUGCGCCUGUCUGGGGAUGGGCUGCUGCAGUCAUAAGGAAUGUCCAGGACAGGAUAAAAAAAUUCCUUCCUUGAACUGGAAGGUUUGAAAUAAAGAUAUUUCGUGCUUAUUU